This 81-nucleotide non-coding RNA is filed under the name Janibacter sp. RNAcentral's name for it is "ZTP sequence". It matches the Rfam family "ZMP/ZTP riboswitch aptamer (pfl RNA motif)". From Rfam's summary of the family: Previously known as pfl RNA. ZMP is also known as AICAR. Lineage: Bacteria; Bacillati; Actinomycetota; Actinomycetes; Micrococcales; Intrasporangiaceae. The record is from RNAcentral.
CGGCCCCAACACGACUGGCGAAGGUGGGUCACCACCGGGGAGUGACGACGUCGAGGUGCAUCGCCCGCCUGGGUGCACCCA